Molecule: ribosomal RNA, 223 nt
Filed under: uncultured bacterium
Lineage: Bacteria
Description: partial 16S ribosomal RNA
Rfam family: Bacterial small subunit ribosomal RNA
Source: RNAcentral
ACGCUCGACACCUACGGAAGGCAGCAGUAGGGAAUCUUCCACAAUGGACGCAAGUCUGAUGGAGCAACGCCGCGUGAGUGAAGAAGGUCUUCGGAUCGUAAAACUCUGUUGUUAGAGAAGAACACGAGUGAGAGUAACUGUUCAUUCGAUGACGGUAUCUAACCAGCAAGUCACGGCUAACUACGUACCAGCAGCCGCGGUAAUCUGAGCGGGCUGGCAAGGC